RNAcentral lists this ribosomal RNA (747 nucleotides) under uncultured bacterium. RNAcentral's name for it is "bacterial SSU rRNA". It matches the Rfam family "Bacterial small subunit ribosomal RNA", at positions 8 to 796 of the family's 1533-position model. The record is from RNAcentral.
AGAGUUUGAUCCUGGCUCAGGAUGAACGCUGGCGGUCUGCUUAACACAUGCAAGUCGAACGGGAAUCUUAGGAUUCUAGUGGCGGACGGGUGAGUAACGCGUGAGAAUCUGCCUUCAGGACGGGGAUAACAGGAGGAAACUGCUGCUAAAACCGGAUAUGCCGAAAGGUGAAAGUAUUAAUAGCCUGAAGAGGAGCUCGCGUCUGAUUAGCUAGUUGGUAGGGUAAAAGCUUACCAAGGCGACAAUCAGUAGCUGGUCUGAGAGGACGAUCAGCCACACUGGGACUGAGACACGGCCCAGACUCCUACGGGAGGCAGCAGUGGGGAAUUUUCCGCAAUGGGCGAAAGCCUGACGGAGCAAGACCGCGUGGGGGAGGAAGGUUCUUGGAUUGUAAACCCCUUUUCUCAGGGAAGAACACAAUGACGGUACCUGAGGAAUAAGCAUCGGCUAACUCCGUGCCAGCAGCCGCGGUAAUACGGAGGAUGCAAGCGUUAUCCGGAAUAAUUGGGCGUAAAGCGUCCGUAGGUGGUUAUUCAAGUCUGCCGUUAAAGAGUGGGGCUUAACCCCACAAAGGCGGUGGAAACUGAAAGACUAGAGUGCAGUAGGGGUAGAGGGAAUUCCCGGUGUAGCGGUGAAAUGCGUAGAGAUCGGGAAGAACACCGGCGGCGAAAGCGCUCUGCUGGACUGCAACUGACACUGAGGGACGAAAGCUAGGGGAGCGAAUGGGAUUAGAUACCCUAGUAGUCC